UGGGGAAUAUUGGACAAUGGGCGCAAGCCUGAUCCAGCCAUGCCGCGUGUGUGAAGAAGGCCUUUUGGUUGUAAAGCACUUUAAGCGAGGAGGAGGCUACUUGGAUUAAUACUCUAGGAUAGUGGACGUUACUCGCAGAAUAAGCACCGGCUAACUCUGUGCCAGCAGCCGCGGUAAUACAGAGGGUGCGAGCGUUAAUCGGAUUUACUGGGCGUAAAGCGUGCGUAGGCGGCUUCUUAAGUCGGAUGUGAAAUCCCUGAGCUUAACUUAGGAACUGCAUUCGAUACUGGGAAGCUAGAGUAUGGGAGAGGAUGGUAGAAUUCCAGGUGUAGCGGUGAAAUGCGUAGAGAUCUGGAGGAAUACCGAUGGCGAAGGCAGCCAUCUGGCCUAAUACUGACGCUGAGGUACGAAAGCAUGGGGAGCAAACAGG
Molecule: ribosomal RNA, 430 nt
Filed under: bacterium
Lineage: Bacteria
Description: partial 16S ribosomal RNA
Rfam family: Bacterial small subunit ribosomal RNA
Source: RNAcentral